Physcomitrium patens is the source of this 842-nucleotide non-coding RNA. The record is from RefSeq and is a predicted model, not a curated record. NCBI's taxonomy places the organism in Eukaryota, Viridiplantae, Streptophyta, Bryopsida, Funariales, Funariaceae.
AUAUGUUUGUGCACAAUUGCACCAGAUGCAGUGCUGAUUUUUAAUUAAUCUUAGCACGUGGAAUACCGCAGUGCAAUGAAUUCGCAUCCCCCGUUCUGCUUGCCAUGGCUACGCCGAUGCGAAAAACUCAGAACGAGAUUGCCAACAUUAUGAUCAGCACAGCGUUGCGGAGUUUUAGGGUUGUGGCUGAUCUCGCAUGCGUUGUGAGGUCGAGGUGCGGCGGUAGUUGCAUGCACAACUUGGCUGUGAGUGAACAAGGUUGGUUGUCAUCGGUUUCACCGCAUCAUGAUUCAGCGGCACUCUCUUCACUGGUUCCAGAUGUUGCUACAUUUCGCGUUGCAGGGAGGGAGUCCCCGAUGGUCAGAUUGAAGCUCUCUCUCUCGCGCUCUUUCGCUCUCGCUCUUUCGCUCGAUCCCGUUCAUUAACAGCUUGACAAUGCAUUUCGUGAAGGGUUACGUGGUUUCUGCCUCGCCCCCUAACUCAUCCCCUGGUCUGGAAACAUAUUAUUGUGGAAGCAGGAAGAUUGAAAUUCUGAUGAUACUCAUGAAGGCGAGAGCUGCUGUUGAAGCAACGGGAGAUACAAGUGACCAGGUAAUGCACCAAAUUUGAAGCUGAGCUCGGAUUAAUGCACUGUGGAUAAGCAAAUGCUUUGCUAUUCAGAUAUGUAGGGAAACAAUGUUGUUUGCAAAGAACAUAAAUAACCAGAACAAAUGUCGAAGUAAAUUAAUGACGAAUCACAGCUUGGAUUAGAUUCAAAACAGUGAUUCGAAUCCUAACAUAGUCGAACACUUUGUGUUUUUGGUGCUUUUAUAAUGUCCUGAUUGCAUUCAAGGAUUUACUUA